CAGUGCAAUCAUACCAGCACUAAAGCACCGGACCCCAUUAGAACUUCGAAGUUAAGCGUGCUUGGUCGAGAGUAGUAUUAGGAUGGGUGACCUCCUGGGAAGUCCUUGUGUUGCACUCC
Ribosomal RNA from Musa acuminata AAA Group (dessert banana), 119 nucleotides. The record is from RefSeq and is a predicted model, not a curated record. Lineage: Eukaryota; Viridiplantae; Streptophyta; Magnoliopsida; Zingiberales; Musaceae.